GCUGGCUCAGUUGGUAGAGCACGUGACUUUUGAUCUCAGGGUUGUGAGUUCAAGCCCCACAAUGCGCA
Molecule: transfer RNA, 68 nt
Filed under: Felis catus (domestic cat)
Lineage: Eukaryota; Metazoa; Chordata; Mammalia; Carnivora; Felidae
Rfam family: tRNA
About the family: Transfer RNA (tRNA) molecules are approximately 80 nucleotides in length. Their secondary structure includes four short double-helical elements and three loops (D, anti-codon, and T loops).
Source: Rfam by way of RNAcentral